AAAGAUCGAAUGGGGAGAUUCAUCGUCAGCCGCUUUGGCUUCCGUGUGAACGCGAUGAUCGGGGCUUCGGCUCUGCGUCACGCGUUUGCUGCGGCAUGUCUGGAGUGGUCGGCGUGCACUUCUCCCCUAGUAGGACGUCGCGAUUCGUUGGGUGUCGGUUUACGGACCGGUAGGUCGCCUGGCGUAUCUCGUUCACGCGAGUUUGUGUCAGACCUCUGGAUUCCCAACCGGCUGCCCGGCGGUAUAAAACGAUAAUUAAACGGUAUUGGGCCGCAUUGAAUGCGUUCAGGCUCGUAGGCAGGCUUGUCUCGCUCGGAUUUACGGACCUAGUGCCGUUGCCGGGUGCUUGGCGAACUGUGGCUUGCGAUGUCCUCGGACUGGCUCUUGAAUAUUCUUACGAAUAUACCGAUCGGCGACGCUACUGCUUUGGGUACUUUCAGGACCCGUCUUGAAACA
Molecule: ribosomal RNA, 456 nt
Filed under: Encarsia inaron
Lineage: Eukaryota; Metazoa; Arthropoda; Insecta; Hymenoptera; Aphelinidae
Description: eukaryotic LSU rRNA
Source: RNAcentral